RNAcentral lists this ribosomal RNA (253 nucleotides) under uncultured Lachnospiraceae bacterium. Its description in RNAcentral is "partial 16S ribosomal RNA". It matches the Rfam family "Bacterial small subunit ribosomal RNA", at positions 524 to 776 of the family's 1533-position model. Lineage: Bacteria; Bacillati; Bacillota; Clostridia; Lachnospirales; Lachnospiraceae. The record is from RNAcentral.
UACGUAUGGGGCAAGCGUUAUCCGGAUUUACUGGGUGUAAAGGGAGCGUAGGCGGCAGGGCAAGCCUGAUGUGAAAGCCCGGGGCUCAACCCCGGGACUGCAUUGGGAACUGCCCCGCUCGAGUGCCGGAGGGGCAGGCGGAAUUCCUAGUGUAGCGGUGAAAUGCUUAGAUAUCACGAAGAACCCCGAUUGCGAAGGCAGCCUGCCGCAGCGUUACUGACGCUGAAGCUCGAAAGCGCGGGUAUCGAACAGG